Molecule: non-coding RNA, 112 nt
Organism: Acanthosepion pharaonis
Lineage: Eukaryota; Metazoa; Mollusca; Cephalopoda; Sepiida; Sepiidae
Source: the annotation of a GenBank genome assembly
ACGGCCAUACCACGAUUAAACACCGGUUCCUGCACGAUCACCGAUGUUAAGCAACCUCGAGCCUGAUUUGUACCGAGAUGGGUGACCGCUUCUGAAUACCAGGUGCUGUAAG